This 253-nucleotide ribosomal RNA is filed under the name uncultured bacterium. RNAcentral's name for it is "partial 16S ribosomal RNA". It matches the Rfam family "Bacterial small subunit ribosomal RNA", at positions 524 to 776 of the family's 1533-position model. The record is from RNAcentral.
UACGUAGGGGGCUAGCGUUGUCCGGAUUUAUUGGGCGUAAAGAGCGUGUAGGCGGCCAGGUAGUUCUGGUGUGAAGACUCGAGGCUUAACCUUGAGAUGUCAUCGGAAACCAUUUGGCUAGAGUCCGGAAGAGGAAAGUGGAAUUCCUGGUGUAGCGGUGAAAUGCGCAGAUAUCAGGAAGAACACCAAUGGCGAAAGCAGCUUUCUGGGACGGUACUGACGCUGAGACGCGAAAGCGUGGGGAGCGAACAGG